AAACCAACCGGGAUUGCCUUAGUAACGGCGAGUGAAGCGGCAAAAGCUCAAAUUUGAAAUCUGGUACCUUCGGUGCCCGAGUUGUAAUUUGGAGAGGGCAACUUUGGGGCCGUUCCUUGUCUAUGUUCCUUGGAACAGGACGUCAUAGAGGGUGAGAAUCCCGUGUGGCGAGGAGUGCGGUUCUUUGUAAAGUGCCUUCGAAGAGUCGAGUUGUUUGGGAAUGCAGCUCUAAGUGGGUGGUAAAUUCCAUCUAAAGCUAAAUAUUGGCGAGAGACCGAUAGCGAACAAGUACAGUGAUGGAAAGAUGAAAAGAACUUUGAAAAGAGAGUGAAAAAGUACGUGAAAUUGUUGAAAGGGAAGGGCAUUUGAUCAGACAUGGUGUUUUUGCAUGCACUCGCCUCUCGUGGGCUUGGGCCUCUCAAAAAUUUCACUGGGCCAACAUCAAUUCUGGCAGCAGGAUAAAUCAUUAAGAAUGUAGCUACUUCGGUAGUGUCAUAGCUUUUUGGAAUACUGUUAC
This 517-nucleotide ribosomal RNA is filed under the name uncultured Saccharomyces. RNAcentral describes it as "eukaryotic LSU rRNA". It matches the Rfam family "Eukaryotic large subunit ribosomal RNA", at positions 62 to 578 of the family's 3401-position model. The record is from RNAcentral. Lineage: Eukaryota; Fungi; Ascomycota; Saccharomycetes; Saccharomycetales; Saccharomycetaceae.